RNAcentral lists this ribosomal RNA (433 nucleotides) under uncultured bacterium. RNAcentral describes it as "partial 16S ribosomal RNA". It matches the Rfam family "Bacterial small subunit ribosomal RNA", at positions 29 to 507 of the family's 1533-position model. The record is from RNAcentral.
AACGAACGCUGGCGGCAGGCCUAACACAUGCAAGUCGAGCGAAGACUCCGGUCGUUUCGGCGGACGGGGGUGGAAGGCGUGGGGAGGUGCCCUUUGCUUCGGAAUACCUCUGGGAAACUGGGAGUAAUACCGGAUGAGCCCUUAGGGGGAAAGAUUUAUUGGGGUAGGUUCGGCACGCGUUGGAUUCGGUAGUUGGGAGGGUAAUGGCCUACUAAGCGGUGGAUGCAUAGCUGGUUUGAGAGAAUGAUUAGCCACGCUGGGACUGAGACACGGCCGAGAAUCCUACGCAAGGGAGCAGUGGGUAAUCUUAGACAAUGGAGGAAACGCUGAUCUAGCCAUGACGGGUAAGCGCUGAUGGCCGUAGGGAUCUAAUGCUCUUUCAGCUGGGAAGAUAAUGACGGUACCAGCAGAAGAAGCCCCGGCUAACUCCGUG